CACAGGUCUCUGCUAAACCGUAAGGUGAUGUAUAGGGGCUGACGCCUGCCCGGUGCUGGAAGGUUAAGAGGAGUGGUUAGCUUCUGCGAAGCUACGAAUCGAAGCCCCAGUAAACGGCGGCCGUAACUAUAACGGUCCUAAGGUAGCGAAAUUCCUUGUCGGGUAAGUUCCGACCCGCACGAAAGGCGUAACGAUUUGGGCACUGUCUCAACGAGAGACUCGGUGAAAUCAUAGUACCUGUGAAGAUGCAGGUUACCCGCGACAGGACGGAAAGACCCCGUGGAGCUUUACUGUAGCCUGAUAUUGAAAUUCGGCACAGCUUGUACAGGAUAGGUA
Molecule: ribosomal RNA, 336 nt
Filed under: Staphylococcus aureus
Lineage: Bacteria; Bacillati; Bacillota; Bacilli; Caryophanales; Staphylococcaceae
Description: partial 23S ribosomal RNA
Rfam family: Bacterial large subunit ribosomal RNA
Source: RNAcentral